This 243-nucleotide unclassified non-coding RNA is filed under the name Hevea brasiliensis (rubber tree). The record is from RNAcentral. Lineage: Eukaryota; Viridiplantae; Streptophyta; Magnoliopsida; Malpighiales; Euphorbiaceae.
UUUUGUUGCAGUGUUUAGUGAAAAAUAUGGGAAUAUUUCAAAGAAUGUUAACAUCUUCUAAGAUAAAAUAUUUGUUUGUUGUUAGAUUAUAGCAUUUAUAACCUUUUUAAAAACGAGAGUAUCCUAGAAAGACAUAUUUAACAGAUUUAGGCCAGAGUUUGUCUUUUCCAGAAAUGUAAUCAUGAACGAAAUAGGUAUAGCCAAAUACACACAAUGAUAGAGGUUGGGGAUCUUGAUAUGGAA